UUUGCUUGUUUAGAUGAUUAUCAGAUUAUUUAAAUAUCACAUUUAAUUUUUUUUUUUAUCAAGAUCCCACACAAGUUUUAUCUUAUGUGUUUUUGUAAUGGUUUAUUUAGUGCGCUUGUGGAGAAAAAAAAAAAAAAAAAAAAAAAAAAAAACCAACCCACACUGUAAAAAGUGAUUUGUUGGCUCAACAUCUAUUACUCAAGAUAAAUAGAAUAAACUCAAAAAUAUAUAUAUUCAUAACAUUUCAAGCUCUACUUAACAUUUUCUAGUGUAUGCAACACAAAAAUGUAUAUUAAAAGGUGAACAUAAGUGUAUUCAUAAAGUAAAUGAAAAAACGUAAGUAACAUCAACUAGCAUUAAAACUUGGUUAAAAUUAAGUAAACAUAAAAUAUAAUAUUUUACGUAUUUGUGAGCUGCGUGAUAUGCAAAUAUUCUAUUCAGCCAAUGAGCGAAGCUGGAGCCAUUUUGAAGCGUUAUGUGGUGAAGACAGCGAAUACUCUGUCAGGUCUUUAAAGAAAACUAAAUAAAACAUUAGAGUUUGACUAUUUAAACAUUCAUAAACACUGGUUUAUUGUGUUAGUGGGGUGUAUUCCUUAACCGGAAGCGCAACACAACAUUUUCUGAAGUUCGAUGUGGUGAAGACGGAGAUAAGAGUGGGGUGUAUUUGUAAACUGGAAGCACAACGCAACGUUUUGACGAUGUGGUGACGAUGGUGAAAGGAGUGCGAACAUUUGUGGUGCAACAAUAGAAGGAUAUGGUGCAUCCUGUUUUUGGAGUCCAAUGCUGUCUGCGGAAAUACACAGAGAAGUUGAUUCAGUGUUUAAUGGUGUACAUCUCUGACAAUGCUGAUAAUCUCAUCAGGCAUUACUAGGAUAGCCAUGGUGACCUAAAGGAACUGGAACAGCACACACACUGAGGAUUAUCACAGAGGUGGCUUCAUGGACGAUCCUUUAGAGACUGUAACUUUCUUUUGGUCAAAUUGUCACUUUUUUCAGAAGUACUACAGUCAUGAUUUUUGGUUUUAGACUAUUUAAGUUGCUGUUUCCAGAGUAGUAUUGCAAUCUCUGUCAGAAAACCUAAAAUGCUUUAUUUUUGUACUGAUUUUACUAAUUGUACUAAUUGUGUGAAAACCUUUUGUUGAAAUGCUGUCCAAAAAUGAAGUAAAAUGCUGUUUUGUGUUUAUUGUAUGUUUUGCACUUAUUUUAAGACAUUGAAUGUUCUAGAGCAGUACAGUAAGUUUUAUUCAAUAGCUCAAGGUCUAAAAUUAAUUAAAAUUAAGUUUGUUCAACUCAA
Ctenopharyngodon idella (grass carp) is the source of this 1293-nucleotide long non-coding RNA. RefSeq lists it as uncharacterized. Lineage: Eukaryota; Metazoa; Chordata; Actinopteri; Cypriniformes; Xenocyprididae. The transcript has 5 exons. The record is from RefSeq and is a predicted model, not a curated record.